AUCAGGAACCAUGGCUCACUGGAGCACCAUCUUUGGAGUCUAGCUAACACAGCAUCUUGGAUGCACUCCUAAGAGAAGACUACCUGAAAGGCGUGUACACUGGUCUAGCAGUUGAGAUCAGCUAGUGUUCCAUCUAUCUUCUGUCAUGUAUCUCUUCUAAGAUGUCUUGAUCGACUGACCCCAAAGCCAGAGGGUACCAGGUCAAAAAGCAAGAAAACAAACAAUACUGACAUUAGAGAGAAGCAAAGUUUCUAUAGAAAACCUAUUACACUGUGGUAUAAAUCAAGAUGAACCUGCAGACAUCUAUUUUAGCUUUUCUAGGUCAUCAUUCUAGGCUUUGUUGAAGCAUGCAUUUUUGGCAUGAGGGUGGCAGCCUUUGCACUAUGUGCAUGGCUGAGGAGUUAGGAUCUGGAGGGUGAUGAAAGCAAAGGUGCUGCUGGUUACUCUUGGUUCAUCUAGCAAUAGAUGAUCUGAAUGUUAGAGUUCGCCAAAUAUUGUUCCUGGGCAGUCUUUGCUCUACCAAAUCAACUUUCUCCAUGGGGGAGCUAGAAGUCACCCCACAUUCUCCGCCAUGGCCAGCUCUACAUUCUAAGAGAACCAAUGGCUCUACCCAACAUAUUCUUCUCACCACAGAUGACAAAGACACAAGGAGCCAAGACAGAUCAUUCAAGCAUAUUCAUUGCCUCUAUCUUCAUCCCAUUAAAUAACAUCCCGCCAACCAAAGCAAGUUAUCUGCAUAAGAAUAAAUAUUCCACCUACUCUACUGCAAGGCCCUGCAAGAGUCAUGAGACAAAAGGAUCCUCUGUGGACAGCACCCAAGAUGGAAACAACUGACAGUCUAUGGCCAGGGCUAUACUCUGGUGAAACUGAAAGGUGUCUGCAUGGAAGUGUCUGACUACCACCAUCCACUCAGGCAAAUGCAUUUGUUUCCCUCUAUUCAUUAUUAGAAGAGAGGAGAUUACAUACCAGACAUAUACCAAUAGGUUUUCUCUUCAUAAUACCUACGUCAUCUAGUAGCAUAACAUAAGGCAGAAUCCUUCAAAGGUUGACUCCUAGAGAUGGAAGAGCUGUAAGCAGAGACAGAAAAGUAUGUUUUCACACAAACUCUUUGGCUCAUUAGCAGAUGGCAGCAAUGAGCCAAUAAAAUAUAUUUUUCUCCUUUGA
Molecule: long non-coding RNA, 1164 nt
Organism: Homo sapiens (human)
Lineage: Eukaryota; Metazoa; Chordata; Mammalia; Primates; Hominidae
Product: long intergenic non-protein coding RNA 2465
Source: Ensembl